RNAcentral lists this long non-coding RNA (7177 nucleotides) under Citrus x clementina. RNAcentral describes it as "Citrus clementina (C. clementina) long non-coding RNA (CCLE_LNC002228)". The record is from RNAcentral. Lineage: Eukaryota; Viridiplantae; Streptophyta; Magnoliopsida; Sapindales; Rutaceae.
GCUGGGGGGUCUUGGGACCCCGACCUUCGGGGGCUGUUUUUUGGGCGCGGCUGUGCCCGUGGCCUAUUUUUGGCACACGGAGGCCGCCCACCAAGUCUGGUGCCAUUCCGAGUCCCGCGGACGAACUUCGCCCACGCCCCCCACCAAGGCUAUAGCCCACCUAUUUUUUGGCCAUUUUUCCGCUGGGGGGUCUUGGGACCCCGACCUUCGGGGGCUGUUUUUUGGGCGCGGCAGUGCUCGUGGCCUAUUUUUGGCACACGGAGGCCGCCCUCCAAGUCUGCUGCCAUUCCGAGUCCCGCGGACGAACUUCGCCCACGCCCCCCACCAAGGCUAUAGCCCACCUAUUUUUUGGCCAUUUUUCCGCUGGGGGGUCUUGGGACCCCGAACUUCGAGGGCUGUUUUUUGGGUGCGGCUGUGCCCGUGGCCUAUUUUUGGCACACGGAGGCCGCCCGCCAAGUCUGGUGCCAUUCCGAGUCCCGCGGACGAACUUCGCCCACGCCCCCCACCAAGGCUAUAGCCCACCCGUUUUUUGGCCAUUUUUCCGCUGGGGGGUCUUGGGACCCCGACCUUCGGGGGCUGUUUUUUGGGCGCGGCUGUGCCCGUGGCCUAUUUUUGGCACACGGAGGCCGCCCGCCAAGUCUGGUGCCAUUCCGAGUCCCGCGGACGAACUUCGCCCACGCCCCCCACCAAGGCUAUAGCCCACCCGUUUUUUGGCCAUUUUUCCGCUGGCGGGUCUUGGGACCCCGGCCUUCGGGGGCUGUUUUUUGGGCGCGGCAGUGCCCGUGGCCUAUUUUUGGCACACGGAGGCCGCCCGCCAAGUCUGGUGCCAUUCCGAGUCCCGCGGACGAACUUCGCCCACGGCCCCCACCAAGGCUAUAGGCCACCCGUUUUUUGGCCAAUUUUCCGCUGGGGGGUCUUGGGACCCCGACCUUCGGGGGCUGUUUUUUGGGCGCGGCUGUGCCCGUGGCCUAUUUUUGGCACACGGAGGCCGCCCGCCAAGUCUGGUGCCAUUCCGAGUCCCGCGGACGAACUUCGCCCACGCCCCCCACCAAGGCUAUAGCCCACCCGUUUUUUGGUCAUUUUUCCGCUGGGGGGUCUUGGGACCCCGACCUUCGGGGGCUGUUUUUUGGGCGCGGCUGUGCCCGUGGCCUAUUUUUGGCACACGGAGGCCGCCCGCCAAGUCUGGUGCCAUUCCGAGUCCCGCGGACAAACUUCGCCCACGACCCCCACCAAGGCUAUAGGCCACCCGUUUUUUGGCCAUUUUUCCGCUGGGGGGGUCUUGGGACCCCGACCUUCGGGGGCUGUUUUUUGGACGCGGCUGUGCCCGUGGCCUAUUUUUGGCACACGGAGGCCGCCCGCCAAGUCUGGUGCCAUUCCGAGUCCCGCGGACGAACUUCGCCCACGGCCCCCACCAAGGCUAUAGGCCACCCGUUUUUUGGCCAAUUUUCCGCUGGGGGGUCUUGGGACCCCGACCUUCGGGGGCUGUUUUUUGGGCGCGGCUGUGCCCGUGGCCUAUUUUUGGCACACGGAGGCCGCCCGCCAAGUCUGGUGCCAUUCCGAGUCCCGCGGACGAACUUCGCCCACGCCCCCCACCAAGGCUAUAGCCCACCCGUUUUUUGGUCAUUUUUCCGCUGGGGGGUCUUGGGACCCCGACCUUCGGGGGCUGUUUUUUGGGCGCGGCUGUGCCCGUGGCCUAUUUUUGGCACACGGAGGCCGCCCGCCAAGUCUGGUGCCAUUCCGAGUCCCGCGGACGAACUUCGCCCACGGCCCCCACCAAGGCUAUAGCCCACCCGUUUUUUGGCCAUUUUUCCGCUGGGGGGUCUUGGGACCCCGACCUUCGGGGGCUGUUUUUUGGGCGCGGCUGUGCCCGUGGCCUAUUUUUGGCACACGGAGGCCGCCCGCCAAGUCUGGUGCCAUUCCGAGUCCCGCGGACGAACUUCGCCCACGCCCCCCACCAAGGCUAUAGCCCACCCGUUUUUUGGUCAUUUUUCCGCUGGGGGUCUUGGGACCCCGACCUUCGGGGGCUGUUUUUUGGGCGCGGCUGUGCCCGUGGCCUAUUUUUGGCACACGGAGGCCGCCCGCCAAGUCUGGUGCCAUUCCGAGUCCCGCGGACGAACUUCGCCCACGCCCCCCACCAAGGCUAUAGCCCACCCGUUUUUUGGCCAUUUUUCCGCUGGGGGGUCUUGGGACCCCGACCUUCGGGGGCUGUUUUUUGGGCGCGGCUGUGCCCGUGGCCUAUUUUUGGCACACGGAGGCCGCCCGCCACGUCUGGUGCCAUUCCGAGUCCCGCGGACGAACUUCGCCCACGGCCCCGACCAAGGCUAUAGCCCACCCGUUUUUUGGCCAUUUUUCCGCUGGGGGGUCUUGGGACCCCGACCUUCGGGGGCUGUUUUUUGGGCGCGGCUGUGCCCGUGGCCUAUUUUUGGCACACGGAGGCCGCCCGCCAAGUCUGGUGCCAUUCCGAGUCCCGCGGACGAACUUCGCCCACGGCCCCCACCAAGGCUAUAGCCCACCCGUUUUUUGGCCAUUUUUCCGCUGGGGGGUCUUGGGACCCCGACCUUCGGGGGCUGGUUUUUGGGCGCGGCUGUGCCCGUGGCCUAUUUUUGGCACACGGAGGCUGCCCGCCAAGUCUGGUGCCAUUCCGAGUCCCGCGGACGAACCUCGCCCACGCCCCCCACCAAGGCUAUAGCCCACCCGUUUUUUGGCCAUUUUUCCGCUGGGGGGUCUUGGGACCCCGACCUUCGGGGGCUGAUUUUUGGGCGCGGCUGUGCCCGUGGCCUAUUUUUGGCACACAGAGGCCGCCCGCCAAGUAUGGUGCCAUUCCGAGUCCCGCGGACGAACUUUGCCCACGCCCCCCACCAAGGCUAUAGCCCACCCGUUUUUUGGCCAUUUUUCCGCUGGGGGGUCUUGGGACCCCGACCUUCGGGGGCUGAUUUUUGGGCGCGGCUGUGCCCGUGGCCUAUUUUUGGCACACGGAGGCCGCCCGCCAAGUCAGGGGCCAUUCCGAGUCCCGCGGACGAAGUUCGCCCACGCCCCCCACCAAGGCUAUAGCCCACCCGUUUUUUGGCCAUUUUUCCACUGGGGGGUCUUGGGACCCCGACCUUCGGGGGCUGAUUUUUGUGCGCGGCUGUGCCCGUGGCCUAUUUUUGGCACACAGAGGCCGCCCGCCAAGUAUGGUGCCAUUCCGAGUCCCGCAGACGAACUUCGCCCACGCACCCCACCAAGGCUAUAGCCCACCCGUUUUUUGGCCAUUUUUCCGCUGGGGGGUCUUGGGACCCCGACCUUCGGGGGCUGAUUUUUGGGCGCGGCUGUGCCCGUGGCCUAUUUUUGGCACACAAAGGCCGCCCGCCAACUAUGGUGCCAUUCCGAGUCCCGCGGACGAACUUCGCCCACGCCCCUCACCAAGGCUAUAGCCCACCCGUUUUUUGGCCAUUUUUCCGCUGGGGGGUCUUGGGACCCCGACCUUCGGGGGCUGAUUUUUGGGCGCGGCUGUGCCCUUGGCCUAUUUUUGGCACACGGAGGCCGCCCGCCAAGUCAGGGGCCAUUCCGAGUCCCGCGGACGAAGUUCGCCCACGCCCCCCACCAAGGCUAUAGCCCACCCGUUUUUUGGCCAUUUUUCCACUGGGGCGGCUUGGGACCCCGACCUUCCGGGGCUGAUUAUUGUGCGCGGCUGUACCCGUGGCUAUUUUUGGCACACAGAGGCCGCCCGCCAAGUAUGGUGCCAUUCCGAGUCCCGCGGACGAACUUCGCCCACGCCCCCCAUCAAGGCUAUAGCCCACCCGUUUUUUGGCCAUUUUUCCGCUGGGGGGUCUUGGGACCCCGACCUUCGGGGGCUGAUUUUUGGACGCGGCUGUGCCCGUGGCCUAUUUUUGGCACACAGAGGCCGCCCGCCAAGUAUGGUGCCAUUCUAAGUCCCGCGGACGAACUUCGCCCACGCCGCCCACCAAGGCUAUAGCCCACCCGUUUUGUGGCCAUUUUUCCGCUGGGGGGUCUUGGGACCCCGACCUUCGGGGGCUGAUUUUUGGGCGCGGCUGUGCCCGUGGCCUAUUUUUGGCACACGGAGGCCGCCCGCCAAGUCAGGGGCCAUUCCGAGUCCCGCGGACGAAGUUCGCCCACGCCCCCCACCAAGGCUAUAGCCCACCCGUUUUUUGGCCAUUUUUCCACUGGGGGGUCUUGGGACCCCGACCUUCGGGGGCUGAUUUUUGGGCGCGGCUGUGCCCGUGGCCUAUUUUUGGCACACGGAGGCCGCCCGCCAAGUAUGGUGCCAUUCCGAGUCCCGCGGACGAACUUCGCCCACGCCCCCCACCAAGGCUAUAGCCCACCCGUUUUUUGGCCAUUUUUCCGCUGGGGGGUCUUGGGACCCCGACCUUCGGGGGCUGAUUUUUGGGCGCGGCUGUGCCCGUGGCCUAUUGUUGGCACACAGAGGCGGCCCGCCAAGUAUGGUGCCAUUCCGAGUCCCGCGGACGAAGUUCGCCCACGCCCCCCACCAAGGCUAUAGCCCACCCGUUUUUUGGCCAUUUUUCCGCUGGGGGGUCUUGGGACCCCGACCUUCGGGGGCUGAUUUUUGGGCGCGGCUGUGCCCGUGGCCUAUUUUUGGCACACGGAGGCCACCCGCCAGGUCUGAGGCCAUUCCGAGUCCCGCGGACGAACUUCGCCCACGCCCCCCACCAAGGCUAUAGCCCACCCUUUUUUUGGCCAUUUUUCCGCUGGGGGGUCUGGGGACCCCACCUUCGCGGCUGUGCCCGUGGCCUAUUUUUGGCACACAGAGGCCGCCCGCCAAGUAUGGUGCCAUUCCGAGUCCCGCGGACGAACUUCGCCCACGCCGCCCACCAAGGCUAUAGCCCACCUGUUUUUUGGCCAUUUUUCCGCUGGGGGGUCUUGGGACCCCGACCUUCGGGGGCUGAUUUUUGGGCGCGGCUGUGCCCGUGGCCUAUUUUUGGCACACGGAGGCCGCCCGCCAAGUCAGGGGCCAUUCCGAGUCCCGCGGACGAAGUUCGCCCACGCCCCCCACCAAGGCCAUAGCCCACCCGUUUUUUGGCCAUUUUUCCGCUGGGGGGUCUUGGGACCCCGACCUUCGGGGGCUGAUUUUUGGGCGCGGCUGUGCCCGGGGCCUAUUUUUGGCACACGGAGGCCGCCCGCCAAGUCAGGGGCCAUUCCGAGUCCCGCGGACGAAGUUAGCCCACGCCCCCCACCAAGGCUAUAGCCCACCCGUUUUUUGGCCAUUUUUCCGCUGGGGGGUCUUGGGACCCCGACCUUCGUGGGCUGAUUUUUGGGCGCGGCUGUGCCCGUGGCCUAUUUUUGGCACACAGAGGCCGCCCGCCAAGUAUGGUGCCAUUCCGAGUCCCGCGGACGAACUUCGCCCACGCCGCCCACCAAGGCUAUAGCCCACCCGUUUUUUGGCCAUUUUUCCGCUGGGGGGUCUUGGGACCCCGACCUUCGGGGGCUGAUUUUUGGGCGCGGCUGUGCCCGUGGCCUAUUUUUGGCACACGGAGGCCGCCCGCCAAGUCAGGGGCCAUUCCGAGUCCCGCGGACGAAGUUCGCCCACGCCCCCCACCAAGGCUAUAGCCCACCCGUUUUUUGGCCAUUUUUCCGCUGGGGGGUCUUGGGACCCCGACCUUCGGGGGCUGAGUUUUGGGCGCGGCUGUGCCCGUGGCCUAUUUUUGGCACACAGAGGCCGCCCGCCAAGUAUGGUGCCAUUCCGAGUCCCGCGGACGAUUUUCGCCCACGCCGCCCACCAAGGCUAUAGCCCACCCGUUUUUUGGCCAUUUUUCCACUGGGGGGUCUUGGGACCCCGACCUUCGGGGGCUGAUUUUUGUGCGCGGCUGUGCCCGUGGACUUUUUUUGGCACACAGAGGCCGCCCGCCAAGUAUGGUGCCAUUCCGAGUCCCGCGGAUGAACUUCGCCCACGCCCCUCACCAAGGCUAUAGCCCACCCGUUUUUUGGCCAUUUUUCCGCUGGGGGGUCUUGGGACCCCGACCUUCGGGGGCUGAUUUUUGGGCGCGGCUGUGCCCUUGGCCUAUUUUUGGCACACGGAGGCCGCCCGCCAAGUCAGGGGCCAUUCCGAGUCCCGCGGACGAAGUUCGCCCACGCCCCCCACCAAGGCUAUAGCCCACCCGUUUUUUGGCCAUUUUUCCACUGGGGCGGCUUGGGACCCCGACCUUCCGGGGCUGAUUAUUGUGCGCGGCUGUACCCGUGGCUAUUUUUGGCACACAGAGGCCGCCCGCCAAGUAUGGUGCCAUUCCGAGUCCCGCGGACGAACUUCGCCCACGCCCCCCAUCAAGGCUAUAGCCCACCCGUUUUUUGGCCAUUUUUCCGCUGGGGGGUCUUGGGACCCCGACCUUCGGGGGCUGAUUUUUGGGCGCGGCUGUGCCCGUGGCCUAUUUUUGGCACACGGAGGCCGCCCGCCAAGUAUGGUGCCAUUCCGAGUCCCGCGGACGAACUUCGCCCACGCCCCCCACCAAGGCUAUAGCCCACCCGUUUUUUGGCCAUUUUUCCUGCUGGGGGGUCUUGGGACCCCGACCUUCGGGGGCUGAUUUUUGGGCGCGGCCUGUGCCCGUGGCCUAUUUUUGGCACACNNNNNNNNNNNNNNNNNNNNNNNNNNNNNNNNNNNNNNNNNNNNNNNNNNNNNNNNNNNNNNNNNNNNNNNNNNNNNNNNNNNNNNNNNNNNNNNNNNNNNNNNNNNNNNNNNNNNNNNNNNNNNNNNNNNNNNNNNNNNNNNNNNNNNNNNNNNNNNNNNNNNNNNNNNNNNNNNNNNNNNNNNNNNNNNNNNNNNNNNNNNNNNNNNNNNNNNNNNNNNNNNNNNNNNNNNNNNNNNNNNNNNNNNNNNNNNNNNNNNNNNNNNNNNNNNNNNNNNNNNNNNNNNNNNNNNNNNNNGGGACCCCGACCUUCGGGGGGUGGAUUUUGGGCGCAGGCUGUGCCCGUGGCCUAUUUUUGGCACACGGAGGCCGCCCGCCAAGUCAGGGGCCAUUCCGAGUCCCGCGGACGAAAUUCGCCCACGCCCCCCACCAAGGCUAUAGCCCACCCGUUUGUUGGCCAUUUUUCCGCUGGGGGGUCUUGGGACCCCGACCUUCGGGGGCAGAUUUUUGGGCGCGGCUGUGCCCGUGGCCUAUUUUUGGCACACAGAGGCCGCCCGCCAAGUAUGGUGCCAUUCCGAGUCCCGCGGACGAACUUCGCCCAC